RNAcentral lists this ribosomal RNA (253 nucleotides) under uncultured bacterium. RNAcentral describes it as "partial 16S ribosomal RNA". It matches the Rfam family "Bacterial small subunit ribosomal RNA", at positions 524 to 776 of the family's 1533-position model. The record is from RNAcentral.
UACGUAGGGGGCUAGCGUUGUCCGGAAUCAUUGGGCGUAAAGCGCGUGUAGGCGGCUCGAUAAGUCCGGUGUGAAACCUUGGGGCUCAACCCCAAGCCUGCACUGGAUACUGCCGAGCUAGAGUCCGGGAGGGGAGAGCGGAAUUCCUAGUGUAGCGGUGAAAUGCGCAGAUAUUAGGAAGAACACCGGUGGCGAAGGCGGCUCUCUGGAACGGUACUGACGCUGAGACGCGAAAGCGUGGGGAGCGAACCGG